CAGAAGCCUCCCUCCCUUCAGCAAUCCUCCUCCAGUUCUUGGACAACUCCCGUGUGCUUUGGGGAGAAAACAAGCUGAGCACAUCUAAAUCAUGAAAGAGAAAGAAAGUUCUCUGAAGCUCAAGCAUGUACUGAACUGCUGAGUUAUUGCCUGGAAACCAACACUGAUGAGGAGCAUGUGAAAUAGCUGACUGGAUUUAUGCUGUUGAAGGUGGAACAGAUGUCUCAGAGGGCAGAACAAGAACCAAUGAUUGGACAUUGUAGGCUAUACAUUAUGCAAAACAUUUUAGUAUUGAAUGCUGUGCAAAAAUCGACCGUGUGAUCUUUAAUGAUAAUAGUUAUACCAUUUCUGGCAAAUGCCAGUUAGUUAUUAGGGUUGCAUUUACGACCUGCUUUCUACAUCCAUUGGAGGAGGGGGACUAGAGUAAUUCCAAGUUCUUUUCCAACUCUAUAAAUCUGGGUGUACUAAUGGUAAUACUACUACUUACCUAGAACAUACAGUGCUAAAAUCUUCUACACAAUAAUGAACUGACUUGUUGCAUGUUGCCUUCAUUGCUAUCAGGGAGCAGCAGCAACUCAUUAAACAUCAAAACUUUCUAAGAGCUCAGCUGGAUUAAGACAAAGAUUUAUCUAGUCCCUAAUCUUCUUUUCUUCAGUGGCCAAGUAAUGUCCCCAGAAAGCCCAAAAGCUGGACACAGAAACAAUGGUGUGGCAAAUAUAUCCAGAUGCAUGUUGCCCACCCGGACCCCCAACUAUAGCCUAAUAUAUUAUGAACUAAUGGUAAAAAUAAUUUAAAAACUUUUAAACUGUCAACACAUCUUGUGACAAUGAAUUUCAUAGUUUUUUUAAAAGGUGAAGGGGCUUAUAAAAGUGAAAUGGCACACUAAGAUAAUACUUAAUACAUAUAUUUAUCUGGUCUGCACCCACUGUUGAAAAUGCAAGUGAAGAAAGGGUUAUAUGGAUUGUUACCAUCAAUCUUCUAUCUUUUGCAGGUUUUGAUGAACUAUAGAAAAACCUACAAAUCAAACCUCACAGGAAGUAUGUACAGAUGAACAUAUACUGCAUAAAUAUAAGUACCUUAAUAAAAUGAACAGCCCAAAGGAAUCUAUUAAUGUGAAUGAAUGAAUGAAUGAAUGAAUAUAAAAGGUAGGGAAAACAUGCAGGUGAAGCAAUGCCAAGUGAUCUGUUACCACAUAAAUGGUAACUUCAGUUGGCUGAAGUGGCAAGAGUGGAGAAAUAUGAUGGUAGAUUUACCUUUAAUUUAAUUCCAACAAAAAAAUUCUCUGCUUGAAUAAUAAACAUUUGGAGAUUACUGAAAAAAAUAUCAUUUGUGUCAGCAAAAUGCUGAGCUUGGCUGAAGCAGAAGAAAACUAGGCAGAAUUUUGCUGGCCAUGGGUUUCCUCCGAUUGAGUUAAGGAUUUCCCCUCAGAAGCCACUUGUGAGGUGAAUUAAUCUCCUUAUUACUACAUCCUGUCAAGAGUGUGGCCAUUUGUUUCUGAUCCGUGAAGGGGCAGGUUCCAAUUUGUCUUGCUGGUGACAGGAGCAGCACUUCAUGGGGAAGGGGCAUUUACAAAAAAUUGAGUGAAAGCUUUCCACUCCUGUUAUUCUCAUGUUAGAGUAGACAGAGAUUUUUUUAAAAAAAUGUAUUUGCAUGCUUUUUUCAAAACAUCCAACAUUAACUAAAAGUUACCUAGGUAGCAUACAGGAAGCACUUCAAACCUUAUGUAACUAGAAAAUGGAAAACAAGCUUAAAAUUCACAGUAAAAAAAUUAGAAGGACUUACAUGUUUUUAAAAAGGAUUAAUCCAUGAGAUUGUUUUUCAAAAAAUCUUUGCCUGGCACUAAAAAGAUUUCAAAACAUACCUCCCCACCUUUCACCUACAAUCAGGCCCACUGGUGAAAAACCUAUGUGAUGUGGGUUGUAUCUUGAGGUUUACAUUUAAUCUGAGUUCCAACAGGUGGCAGCAUCUGGCCAAGCUUGGUUGACCAUAAGGAACACUAAGCGAGUUCAGCUUUAGUCCUAGAAUGAGAGACCAUCAGGAAAUCUUAAAACCGUAAGUUAGACUGGGAAGUCCAGAAAACAUUCCAGGAGCUGGCGGUGUCAUUUUUAAAAAUGUGUGAAGUAAUUUCCAUUAUUGAGCCUGCAUGAUCUCUCACAGCCUAUCACAUGGCUGGCAAGAUGCUGCCUUUGCAGAGCUCUAUCAUUUCAGACUGCAGUUGGGCUCAUCUCAAAUUUGUUUCUUCUCACAUUUAAAAAAAAUGAAACUAAACAAAGAGUUGAAUAUAAAGACUUCUCUAUAAGUAUAAAUGUUUAAGAUCAAAAGGUUUAAAUGUUGCUCUAUGCAGGAACAGCAUUGCUCACUAUCUCUGAUGAUUUAAUAGCACCACGGUCUGUAAACUGCUGGAAUCUGAAAGCAAAAUAAAAAUAAGUUCUAGAGGAUAUCAGAUUAUGAUCUGAUAUACAUUUGCUUUGUACUAACAAAGGCUGCAGCCAGAUUUUAACUUAUAAAAACGCUGGACUACAGUGUUCAUAAAAAUCAUCCAGUAGAUUUAUUCAAGGUUUUGGUUUUUUUUAGUCUUGGUCUUGGCAAAUUUAAGAUGUUUGGAUUUUAACUUCCAGAAUUCAACUUCAACUCUAGAUGGGGAAUUCUGGGAGCUGAAGUUCAUGCGUUUUAAACUGGCCAACACCUUCAGAGAUUACAAUCCUCCCAACUGUAAUAAAAUCAGCAUUAUUUUUCUUUCUCAAAUCAUGUUAAAAGCUUCUGGUAUACAGCUGGAUAUGCUUCUGUAUAUAUGUGGAGGCUCUAUCUAGUUUCUGAGGACAUAAGUAGCUGUCUCUGCCACUAAUUUGUUACUGAUCUAUGUUCAAAGUACUUCUAUUGAUAUAAAGCUCUCUGUGGCUUAGAACUUGGAUACCUAAUUAAUCUGAAUAUUUUUUUAUCUUGAAUAUCAGACCCAUCAUUAAAAUGCAGUUGCAAUCUUGAUGGCGCCACUGAAACUUGGCCAGUGCUCACUGUCCUGAAAAUGGAAUUCCCUCCCAGUCCAACUGCAAAUGAUGCCAAGUCUUAGAAAACUUUAGUUCCUGCUGAAAAUUUAAUUGUUUAUCCAACUGGAUCUAUGCUGCUGAGUCUCAUGUUAUCUCUUUUUGUUAUCUUGAUCUUAAGAUGUUGCAAUGUUGUGGCUUAAUCAUUUUAACAGUGUUGCCCUUUUAUCCUAUUUUGUACUGCUUCUUUGGAAUUCAUAGUGAAAAACAGUUUGUACAUUUACAGGAAUACACAUAUGUACAUAAAUACAUACAUAUGAUGGAAUGAUUGGAUGGAAUGAUUACUCACAAACAAAUUUGUUGCCAUGACCACUAUAACUUGGUUACAGCUUAAUUAUACCUGGCAUGAAUAUGUCUUUUUCUCCCUUCUUUUUGUAGCUUAUCUGGACUAUUAUCAGUAAAUGACCAUUUGUAAAUGAGUAAGAAAAAAGAAACCCAGAAACAUAAUGAUAUAGAUUUCAUUUUUUGUGUAUCGUGUUGUAUUGUUCUGACUUGCCAUUGUACUUUGAGGGAGUCAGCCUUAAGAAUCCCUCUUGCAAAGCUGUCUCAGAACUGAAGAGUCCCUCUAGAAGUUUUCUAAAAAUACCCUAAAUACCCUUUUGAGAUCUUCUCUCUUCCCCACAUGACCUUCCUCUUGACAGGAACCAUGCCUCUCUACAAUGUCCAUCAAAGCUAACUUGGCCAGUGUCAGCCACAGUUCCCCAUAAUCUCCCAGGAGGUAUAGUGGUGCCAGAAGUGACAGAAGACUUUAUCCACAUCUCUGAAAUAUAAACAAUAUUCCAGAAUAAUGACAAGAGCUGCAUUAGCAACCAAUACUUUUUAACCAUUUUGGUCCAGAUAACGUUAAGAAAAAAAAUACUAUCAUUGAUACCUGGCGCGGGUCUUCAACACAUUUUUAUCCUUAUCUACUGUAGCAAAGUACCUCAGUGAACAGCAAAUUUCAGACCUCUUCUCUUUUUUGUCUUUCAGAGGGACAGGAUUUUUUUUUUUUUUCUGUAAGCUUCAUGUUU
Long non-coding RNA from Crotalus tigris (Tiger rattlesnake), 4051 nucleotides. RefSeq lists it as uncharacterized. Lineage: Eukaryota; Metazoa; Chordata; Lepidosauria; Squamata; Viperidae. The record is from RefSeq and is a predicted model, not a curated record. The transcript has 2 exons.